CCGGUACAGGAUGGACCCGCGUCUGAUUAGCUAGUUGGUGGGGUAACGGCCUACCAAGGCGACGAUCAGUAGCCGGCCUGAGAGGGUGAACGGCCACAUUGGGACUGAGACACGGCCCAGACUCCUACGGGAGGCAGCAGUGGGGAAUAUUGCACAAUGGGGAAACCCUGAUGCAGCGACGCCGCGUGAGUGAUGAAGUAUUUCGGUAUGUAAAGCUCUAUCAGCAGGGAAGAAAAUGACGGUACCUGACUAAGAAGCACCGGCUAAAUACGUGCC
RNAcentral lists this ribosomal RNA (276 nucleotides) under uncultured bacterium. RNAcentral's name for it is "partial 16S ribosomal RNA". It matches the Rfam family "Bacterial small subunit ribosomal RNA", at positions 215 to 509 of the family's 1533-position model. The record is from RNAcentral.